RNAcentral lists this long non-coding RNA (1060 nucleotides) under Callithrix jacchus (white-tufted-ear marmoset). RNAcentral describes it as "lncRNA (ENSCJAG00000068289.2)". The record is from RNAcentral. Lineage: Eukaryota; Metazoa; Chordata; Mammalia; Primates; Cebidae.
GUUUAACACUCAGAUUUCACCUCCUCCGGGGGCUGACCCGGAUCUCCUAGGCGGAGAUCUUUGAGGUUCCAAAGUACUUGGCCCAAAAGUUAUCCAAGUGUUCUGACGUCAUCGUGCAACCCAAUCAGUGAAGGAUCCUGUCUGGAUAUGCAUUGUCCUAGGCCCACCCACAAACGUUUGGAUUAAAGAUCUGAGACAGGACCCAAAGUUUGAAUUUUUAACAAGAGUGCUUCCCAACCCCCAAAUUGUUCCCAUGUCACGCUGCUGUAUCUCCCCUCACCCACCGAGACUGGGUGCAUCUUGAAGGGAGAGAUGAUAUAUUACUCAUUCGGUGCCCACCACAGGCCCUGCCCAGAACGCAUGCUUAAGGCAUGAAAGAUGGAUGCAUAGAAGCCAAUACAUGAAUUAGUGAACAAACGAAUGAACCCGCCCUCUCCACGUCUGUCCCACCCAUCCAACUCCAGUGACCUGUCCUCCUCAGCCUGACCACCUCUCUUUCUUACAGGGUCGAGGCUCUUUGUGCACCCUCCCAACCGAGUCUUGCAGCUGCAGGUGUGUACACAUGUUCCAGUUCCUCUCCCCAGGGAGAGCAGGAGGUCCACUGGCCAACACUUAUUAAGCACCUGGUGGUUACUGCAACCUGUUCUUCAGAAAGAGGAUGGUGCAAACCGAGAACAAGUAAGAUGUGGAUGCAGAAAGUUAGGAGAUCCAGUAGAAGAGAGAAGUGCAGUUGGUGGCCAGGCCCGCACUAGGUGAUGUUGAAGCCACAGAAGACAGGGCAGUGGGAAAAGCAGCAGGAGCCGCUGCCCUGAGGAGCCUCCAAGCCCAGGCAGAGGGCCAGCCGCACAGAUGGUGUUGGAACCGAACUAGAGGACACCUGGCUGAUGUCCACUGCUUGGUGUGUGUGGCAAAACCCUCCACACAUUUGGUCACAGAAGUCUUCUGGGUUGAUAAUUUUCUGUGGCGUGAGAGCAGAGGGAAGACACAGUUUGAGCCCAGAUUUCAGAACCAAAGCUCAUCACAAGGAAGCAACCUGCAAACCCAACAUUUUCUAAGAUAG